AUUAUCUACACCGGAUCACAAGGCGCAGCCAAACGGCGUCCAAAAGGUGUUCGCUGCUUAUGGCUAAACCGCACUUCCCGGAACAGCACCACUCUCCAGCCUAAUAACUCUCUAUUUACAAUAAUCGUUCACCCUUCCGUCUUCGGUCGUCCCACGAUUCCUCCUUCUUCUCUCCAGGUUCCUCACAGUCGGCGGUUCUUCUGGAGCAAUCGGGUUCUCAACCUACCCAUGACUCAAUUGCCUCUGGUGGUUCCUUUCAUAAUUAAGGAUUGUGCUCCCAUCUGAACCGGUAACUACACCACCUACGAUCUCCAUUCCCGCCAUAUAAGUCUUCGAUUUUGGCACUUUUUUGUGCCAACAUUAUCGAUGAAGCAGUCUUUAGUGGUGAAGAAGAGCCUUAAAUUGUGGGCUAAGGUUAACUAAAUCCUGUUUUCCCAAAGUGUAACUCUUCGUUUUCUUCUUCAUCCAGACGCCUCCACCUCCUGUUCUCUUAUAUCUCCAUAUUAAUUGACACCUCCUCCGUUGAUCAUGACCAUCCCUCAACAUCAGCAGCAUCAGCCUUCAAAUUUCCAUUCAAAACACAAGAAAUCAAACAUCUUUCCCAAGUCGUCUACAAAUCAGUUUCAGAGCAGGGGAAGAACGAGGAUGGUUAUCUCAUGUUAUCGUUUUUCAUUUUGGGAUUUUUGAUUGUUGGUUAUUGAUGAUGGUGAUUAUUAGCUCCAUAAGAAAAGCAAAAACAUCAAAGAAUUAUGAACUUAACAAUUCUCAUAUUGGAGAUGGCUUUCAAGCUAAGCCCUAUGGUGAGAGAUGCAGGUUUGUAAAUGGGAUAACCAUGGUUAGAAGAUUGGCCAAGAUAAUGUUGUUGGUCGGGAAAGUUUUUAUCUUUAUGCAAAGUUCUAUAAGGUAUGGCAAUUUAUGACUUAAAUAAUCCCUCUAAUGAAAUCCCCUAGAAAGAUACAAUAAUGAAAUCCCAAUUAUAGCAUUUUAUUUCCAAAAAAAAUCUAAUAUGUAUGCUUUGUGUAUGUGUUUGGUUUGUCGGUGGUGUGUGUAUGCUUUGUAUGUGUGUAUGUUAGUGUCUGUAAUAAUAAAUUUGGUUUAAAUGCAAGAAAUAGCAAUUGCAGUUUGUUGUUAUUUCUGUAAUUUAGCCCAUUAUUAAAUGUAUGUUGAUACUUCUUGCAGUUUUGACA
Lactuca sativa (garden lettuce) is the source of this 1187-nucleotide non-coding RNA. The record is from RefSeq and is a predicted model, not a curated record. Lineage: Eukaryota; Viridiplantae; Streptophyta; Magnoliopsida; Asterales; Asteraceae.